AGUGAACGCUGGCGGCGUGCUUAACACAUGCAAGUCGAACGAGAACGGAAUAUAGCUUGCUAUAUUUGUCAGCUAAGUGGCGCACGGGUGAGUAAUGUAUAGAUAACCUGCCCUUAAGAAAGGAAUAACAGUUGGAAACGACUGCUAAUGCCCUAUAUGCCUUUAAUACAUAAGUAUGCAAGGGAAACGCUUUAGUGCUUAAGGAUGGGUCUGUAUGGUAUCAGCUUGUUGGUGAGGUAAUGGCUCACCAAGGCUAUGACGCCUAACUGGUUUGAGAGGAUGAUCAGUCACAAUGGAACUGAGACACGGUCCAGACUCCUACGGGAGGCAGCAGUGGGGAAUAUUGCACAAUGGACGAAAGUCUGAUGCAGCAACGCCGCGUGGAGGAUGACACAUUUCGGUGCGUAAACUCCUUUUAUAUAGGAAGAUAAUGACGGUACUAUAUGAAUAAGCACCGACUAACUCCGUGCCAGCAGCCGCCGUAA
This 485-nucleotide ribosomal RNA is filed under the name uncultured bacterium. Its description in RNAcentral is "partial 16S ribosomal RNA". It matches the Rfam family "Bacterial small subunit ribosomal RNA", at positions 29 to 523 of the family's 1533-position model. The record is from RNAcentral.